RNAcentral lists this ribosomal RNA (160 nucleotides) under uncultured bacterium. RNAcentral's name for it is "partial 16S ribosomal RNA". It matches the Rfam family "Bacterial small subunit ribosomal RNA", at positions 355 to 509 of the family's 1533-position model. The record is from RNAcentral.
UGGGGAAUCUUCCGCAAUGGGCGAAAGCCUGACGGAGCAACGCCGCGUGAUCGAAUGAAGGCCUUCGGUUGUAAAGAUCUGUUGACAGGGACGAAUAAGCAAUGCGAAUAGUUUUGUGUAUGACGGUACCUGUUUAGAAAGCUCCGGCUAACUACGUGCC